UUCUAUUAGAAAAGUCCAUGAAGAAGCUGU
This 30-nucleotide non-coding RNA is filed under the name Macaca fascicularis (crab-eating macaque). Lineage: Eukaryota; Metazoa; Chordata; Mammalia; Primates; Cercopithecidae. RNAcentral also lists the same sequence under 1 other name. The record is from RNAcentral.